GACAGGCAGGACUCGUCUCUUUUGCCUUCUUUCUUCGCUUCCAAGUUUCGCAUUCCCCUCGGGGGCUCGGCCCGCCGCUCUGACUAGCCGGCGGCGCCGCAGAGACACCUCCAGCAGACGCCACCGCAGAGACACCUCCAGCAGGCGCCGCCUGGACACGGUGAACUCAUCCUCCUCACGGUUCGCCGCUGCACUCUCCGACCAGGCCCUCACGCCCAGGGCGUCAGGGUGCAAGGAGGAGCAUGUGGCUGACCCUGCAUCUGCACAGACGCUGCAAGAACAGGAUGUCUUGCGCUUAAAGGAGUUGCUCGAACUACAAUAUCGAUUGAAUUGUACGAGCCAUUGUCCAUCACUGCCACUUCCUCGUCCUCUCCGCUGGACACCAUUGAGAUCUCACCAUGAUCAUGGCGCUGCCUUUCCUCGUCAUUCAUAUGGGCUCUUGCUGCUCUGCAAGAGCUUGAUUGGGUCAUUGGGAUUCACAUUUCACACCAUUGAAACAUCUUGAGGAUCAUAGAGGAUCUUUGCGCUCAUAUCCUCAUUUGGGUGGACCAUUUCAAAACUUAGAUGAAGCUUACAAUGGCCACACAAGAUAAUCAAAUGAACCAGUUAAAAGGCGAAUGGCUCUAAAUCUAUAUUUAGAUGUCUAUUGCAGUUUGAAGCUGAGAUUUCUGUACCUGGUAUUGGCAUGUUCUUCUGCGUUUACUGGUAAGCUGAAGUUCCAACCCCAACAAGGCUAGAGAAGCGAGGAUUGCAGAGUUGUGUCCUGCUUCCUCGGGUUGAGAAGCUGGAGAUGGUGGCUCAGGACGCAGCCAACUCGUCUUGUACUCUGCUGUCACUUUCCCUGAUCAAGUGCUCGUCCCUAGGGCAUAGGGUAUGCAUACUUUGUCGACAUGCUCAUCCUCUAAUUUGAUCGGUACUCUCUUUGGGCCUCCUGUUUGAGCUCUCUCGCUUGCUUGUAGACCGUGUAGAAUUGGGGCAGAUUUUGAGGUAUGCUGCUCAUAUUGUGCUAGAGUGCUACUUAUCGUCUGAUUGUACCUUCUAGGACGAUGGAAAUCUUGGUGUAAUUUGGCACAUGCCGGGUUGUAGGUAGGCUACUCUGGCAUGUAAUGGUAGAGGGCUGAAACUUUCAAAACUGAACUCCCUACUUGAAGGACAGGAGUGAGUAGUUUCAGUUUUUUAAAAGUUCCCUUUGAUGAAAGUUCAUCACCAUCCAGCUGAAAGCACAAUUUGAAAGUUUAAACAUACAAUUGAAUGC
Molecule: long non-coding RNA, 1255 nt
Organism: Triticum aestivum (bread wheat)
Lineage: Eukaryota; Viridiplantae; Streptophyta; Magnoliopsida; Poales; Poaceae
Exons: 4
Source: RefSeq, a predicted model, not a curated record